This 254-nucleotide ribosomal RNA is filed under the name uncultured bacterium. Its description in RNAcentral is "partial 16S ribosomal RNA". It matches the Rfam family "Bacterial small subunit ribosomal RNA", at positions 524 to 776 of the family's 1533-position model. The record is from RNAcentral.
UACGUAGGGUGCGAGCGUUGCCCGGAUUUAUUGGGCGUAAAGGGCGCGUAGGCGGCUCUGCACGUCCGUUGUGAAAUCGCCCGGCUCAACUGGGCGGGGUCAGCGGAUACGGCGGAGCUUGAGCAAGCUAGGGGGCAGAUGGAAUUCCGGGUGUAGCGGUGGAAUGCGUAGAGAUCCGGAAGAACACCGGUGGCGAAGGCGGUCUGCUGGGCCAAGACUGACGCUGAGGCGCGACAGCGUGGGGAGCAAACAGG